RNAcentral lists this long non-coding RNA (453 nucleotides) under Zostera marina. RNAcentral's name for it is "long non-coding RNA (ZMAR_LNC006124)". The record is from RNAcentral. Lineage: Eukaryota; Viridiplantae; Streptophyta; Magnoliopsida; Alismatales; Zosteraceae.
GACCCCUGGACCCAAUCUGAUCAGUUAGGCAGUUAGGCGGUUACUGCCCAAAUGACCAGAUUGACCCCAUAAGAACCCCUAUAAAUAGAGGGCACCCCCCACUCAUUAAAGGCAAGUCAUUUUGGAGAAGAAGGAUUUCUAGCGAAGCAGAGCUCUGCACACUUGAGUUCCGGUCCGGUUUCCCGCGGAGUUCCCCGCUUGGCGCUUGCUUGCGCGUCUUGGAGUACUGGUCGGGUUUCACCCCCAUCAGUUGGCGCCGUCUGUGAUUCAAAGAUACUCACGACAAAAGCUCCUCGACUUCUUCGAAAAAAGGGAUCGACUUUUUUCCAAGUCGCCAGCUAGGAAGUUUUGCGAGGAAAUCAGCCAGCAAGGGAUCGACAUUUCAGGAGAUCGACUUUUUCUUCCGAAAAAAAAGUCGACCCCUCAAGGAGCUAGGCUUUCGAACAUCGGCUU